RNAcentral lists this transfer RNA (77 nucleotides) under Bacteriophage sp. Its description in RNAcentral is "tRNA-Pro". It matches the Rfam family "tRNA". Rfam says of the family: Transfer RNA (tRNA) molecules are approximately 80 nucleotides in length. The record is from RNAcentral.
CUAUGUAUAGCGCAGUUUGGUAGCGCACCUGCCUUGGGAGCAGGGGGUCGCAGGUUCAAAUCCUGCUACAUAGACCA